This 318-nucleotide unclassified non-coding RNA is filed under the name Hevea brasiliensis (rubber tree). Lineage: Eukaryota; Viridiplantae; Streptophyta; Magnoliopsida; Malpighiales; Euphorbiaceae. The record is from RNAcentral.
CGAGAAAUCCCCAAAUCGAGAUCAUGGAAUUCCCAUUCCACCGCCAUCACCGUCGCGACGAGGAGGAGGAGGAGUCGCGCUUCCCUCCGCCCGGCCACCAACACCGACCGGACUUCGACGGCCCCCCGCCUCCCCGCCCGUAUGGCAAUGACUUCGAUGGUCCCCCACCUCCCCGCCCCUACGGCAAUGACUUCGACGGUCCCCCGCCUCCCCGCCCGUACGGCAACGAGUAUGACGCCCCUCCUCCUCCUCAGUAUGGCGAGAACGCGUACGGCGCGCCAGCGUACCCGCCGGUCCAGCACGUGUCGCACGGUUACG